CUACGGGCGGCUGCAGUGGGGAAUAUUGCACAAUGGGCGCAAGCCUGAUGCAGCCAUGCCGCGUGUAUGAAGAAGGCCUUCGGGUUGUAAAGUACUUUCAGCGGGGAGGAAGGGAGUAAAGUUAAUACCUUUGCUCAUUGACGUUACCCGCAGAAGAAGCACCGGCUAACUCCGUGCCAGCAGCCGCGGUAAUACGGAGGGUGCAAGCGUUAAUCGGAAUUACUGGGCGUAAAGCGCACGCAGGCGGUUUGUUAAGUCAGAUGUGAAAUCCCCGGGCUCGACCUGGGAACUGCAUCUGAUACUGGGAAGCUUGAGUCUCGUAGAGGGGGGUAGAAUUCCAGGUGUAGCGGUGAAAUGCGUAGAGAUCUGGAGGAAUACCGGUGGCGAAGGCGGCCCCCUGGACGAAGACUGACGCUCAGGUGCGAAAGCGUGGGGAGCAAACAGGAUUAGAUACCCGCGUAUUC
This 464-nucleotide ribosomal RNA is filed under the name uncultured bacterium. RNAcentral's name for it is "partial 16S ribosomal RNA". It matches the Rfam family "Bacterial small subunit ribosomal RNA", at positions 339 to 795 of the family's 1533-position model. The record is from RNAcentral.